Molecule: unclassified non-coding RNA, 93 nt
Organism: Carlito syrichta (Philippine tarsier)
Lineage: Eukaryota; Metazoa; Chordata; Mammalia; Primates; Tarsiidae
Source: Ensembl
UAAUGAAUUGAUGAGAAAUGCAAUGAAGAUCAGAUGUCCAUCUCAAAACUGCUUUUACAAAAGCAGAAUUUUAAAAAGAUGAAAUGAAAAUGA